Molecule: non-coding RNA, 21 nt
Organism: Caenorhabditis elegans
Lineage: Eukaryota; Metazoa; Nematoda; Chromadorea; Rhabditida; Rhabditidae
Source: Ensembl
UUUUGGAUUGAUUUGUGCUAC